CCUACGGGAGGCUGCAGUGGGGAAUAUUGCGCAAUGGGCGAAAGCCUGACGCAGCGACGCCGCGUGAGGGAUGAAGGUCUUCGGAUCGUAAACCUCUGUCAGCAGGGAAGAACGGUCACUGUGCUAAUCAGCAGUGAAUUUACUGUACCUGCAAAGGAAGCACCGGCUAACGCCGUGCCAGCAGCCGCGGUAAUACGGAGGGUGCGAGCGUUAAUCGGAAUUACUGGGCGUAAAGCGCUCGUAGGCGGUAUGUCAAGUCAAGGGUGAAAUCCCCGGGCUCAACGUGGGAACUGCCUUUGAUACUGGCAAACUGGAGUGUGUGAGAGGAUAGUGGAAUUCGAGGUGUAGGAGUGAAAUGCGUAGAUAUCUGGAGGAACAUCAGUGGCGAAGGCGACUAUCUGGCACAUAACUGACGCUGAGGAGCGAAAGCGUGGGUAGCAAACAGGAUUAGAUACCCGAGUAGUC
RNAcentral lists this ribosomal RNA (465 nucleotides) under uncultured bacterium. Its description in RNAcentral is "partial 16S ribosomal RNA". It matches the Rfam family "Bacterial small subunit ribosomal RNA", at positions 338 to 795 of the family's 1533-position model. The record is from RNAcentral.